GUGAAUCAUCAAAUUUUUGAACGCAAAUUGCACUCUUUUCGCAGAGUAUGUCUGUUUGAGGGUCAGCCUGAAAAAACCGACAUAGUUGCUGUUACGCGGUAAGAUUAGCCGGAAAUUGGGUCAUCUUAAACCUUUGGGUUCAAGCGGCAUAAAAUAUUCUUUACGAUUCUAAGAACGUUUAAAAGAU
This 187-nucleotide unclassified non-coding RNA is filed under the name Glomus sp. RNAcentral's name for it is "partial contains 5.8S ribosomal RNA and internal transcribed spacer 2". The stretch from base 1 to 65 matches the Rfam family "5.8S ribosomal RNA", at positions 84 to 154 of the family's 154-position model. The record is from RNAcentral. Lineage: Eukaryota; Fungi; Glomeromycota; Glomeromycetes; Glomerales; Glomeraceae.